GACGAACGCUGGCGGCGUGCUUAACACAUGCAAGUCGUACGGUAAGGCCCUUUCGGGGGUACACGAGUGGCGAACGGGUGAGUAACACGUGAGUAACCUGCCCACAACUUUGGGAUAACGCUAGGAAACUGGUGCUAAUACUGGAUAUGUGCUCCUGCUGCAUGGUGGGGGUUGGAAAGCUCCGGCGGUUGUGGAUGGACUCGCGGCCUAUCAGCUUGUUGGUGGGGUAGUGGCCUACCAAGGCGGCGACGGGUAGCCGGCCUGAGAGGGUGACCGGCCACAUUGGGACUGAGAUACGGCCCAGACUCCUACGGGAGGCAGCAGUGGGGAAUAUUGCACAAUGGGCGCAAGCCUGAUGCAGCAACGCUGCGUGCGGGAUGACGGCCUUCGGGUUGUAAACCGCUUUCAGCAGGGACGAAGCUUUUUGUGACGGUACCUGCAGAAGAAGCACCGGCUAACUACGUG
RNAcentral lists this ribosomal RNA (465 nucleotides) under uncultured bacterium. Its description in RNAcentral is "partial 16S ribosomal RNA". It matches the Rfam family "Bacterial small subunit ribosomal RNA", at positions 28 to 507 of the family's 1533-position model. The record is from RNAcentral.